UUGGUCCCAAGUUGAUUGUCAGGGCAUGCCCUUUAAUAAAUCAGUAAAUGUGUUAGAAAACAAGCUUGGAAACGGCACCAUGAACUACAGAACUGGGCCCAACAUUACCUUCUUGAUAAUGAAACUUACGCAAAGAUUUCGCUACUCAAAUUUAGCCUAAUAAUAUCACCUCAAACAAAGGCUUUCCAAAAGGCGAAAAUGGCGGAAGAAACAGUGUGUUUUCUCUAUGCCUGUAUUCCUCAGUCCAAGAUUGUGGGGUCAAAUACAUUUGAAUGUUUAUACUAGAUUAGCAUGACUUGCAAAGUUGAAUAUCAACUCGAGUUUGAUUCCUGUGGCGAGCACUCAGAGUGCAACUCCUGAAUGCACAACUAAAUGCGCAAAAUGUACCUGAAAAUCAGCCAAAGAAAGUGGAUUAGCUGAGGUGGGUAUAAAGUUGGCUUAGACACUGUUGUACCUCUGAUUUAAACUAAAAAGAAAAAAGGGAGGUUGAAGUAACGCAAAUGAUGUAUAUAUAUAAAAUAAAUAUGCAAAACUAUAACCGAAAGGAUACUUGAAACACUCUCCAACAUCAAGCACUGUAUUUAUGGAGAAAAAAGAGGUUGCAAUAGACCUCCCCACUACUCCUCAACACUGUAAAAGCCAUUUCCUGAGAAGUUUGCUUUGUUCUUCCAUUUU
RNAcentral lists this long non-coding RNA (675 nucleotides) under Ricinus communis (castor bean). RNAcentral describes it as "long non-coding RNA (RCOM_LNC002861)". The record is from RNAcentral. Lineage: Eukaryota; Viridiplantae; Streptophyta; Magnoliopsida; Malpighiales; Euphorbiaceae.